UUAAAUAUGAAAGUAUGUGUAAGGAGCUUUAAAACUUCAUAAUAUAGAUCUGUGCCAGGCCCGUGCACCGCUCUUUUACAACGUGAGAGACGAAAAUGUAUGACUGCUGUCUGCUGAAGUGUCUGCGCUCUGGGAUUUUGAAAACUUAUACAGGUUCAUUUCAAGAUUACGUUAUCUUGCAAUUAAUGGCACACAGAGUCAGAUGGUAGGCAGCAUCAAGUAUGACAAGGGAUUACUUGUUUUUACACAUAAAGAUAAAUCACGGAAGGAUGGAAGGAAUCAAAGAGAGCCCCCUAUUUAGAAGAUGUAGUGUCGGCCACAUUUCUCUCCCUUAAUGCACCGAGAGAUCAACAACAGACUGAAGACACCACUACGGGUGACAGGAGGUCCAUGGCUCCGACAGGAAGCCCUAAUACCGGCGUCAGCAGCGCUGGUAUCGGUGCCAUUACUAACACGACAAUGACAACAUUGCACUGGCAAGGGACCUGUUGGUCGGUAUCUGCAAGUUUAUCUCUUCUUGCUCGGUCAGCUGAGACCCACCACCCGCCAAAACUGAAAUAAGCCCUCAGCCAUCCUACCCUCAUCUCAGACCUCAAGGCUCUGCCGGUCAUCGUUUGUCUAGACACUGCUUUGUUUCAGUGCUGGACGGGCAGACGUCACAUUAAAUGGUGGGAGAUCUUAAGGACCUUUAUAGACUGAUUCCAGCGACAUUUUCUUUCCAAGUUAAACACGUCGUUCUUCAUCGACGUCUUCCAACGAACAUGCCAAAGAACAUAUCUGUUCGGUCAACCGCGCGAGUGAGCGCUCACACACACACACACACACAUACACACACAUGCACGCACGCACAAGAGAGAGAGAGAGAGGCCAGUGGGGGAUCGGUUAGUGAGAGAAAAUACGAUUACAAAUAAGAAUGGGAUUGAUUAGUUCACAGCUGACAUCAGAAAAGGUGAAGUCAUAAGGACAGCCCCAUGCUAGUGGGCUUGAAAAAAAAUUGCAAAACUGGAUUAUGUACAGCAUGAAUUAACACUGAAGAUAAAAGAAAUUUGUGUAAUCUGAUAAAUGGAAGAAACCAAAUAAAAUACAUUAUAGCAGAGCAGCUAUUGAGGCGACUGGUUGUUUUUCCAUUCUAAAGGUUUUCAAAUGUAACAUUAUAUAGGAUCGGGACUGUUUAUCAGCAAUACAUAAAAAAGUUUAAAAUGAAAUGUUAUUUACCUAAACAAUUUUAUUUACAUAAAAA
Molecule: long non-coding RNA, 1240 nt
Organism: Pomacea canaliculata
Lineage: Eukaryota; Metazoa; Mollusca; Gastropoda; Architaenioglossa; Ampullariidae
Exons: 4
Source: RefSeq, a predicted model, not a curated record